GAUGAAGAACGCAGUGAAAUGCAAUACUUGGUGUGAAUUGCAGAAUCCCGUGAACCAUCGAGUCUUUGAACGCAAGUUGCGCCCGAAGCCAUUAGGCCGAGGGCACGCCUGCCUGGGCGUCACACGUCGUUGCCCCCCAUCUACUCCUUCGGGAUUGCGGGGGGCGGAUGAUGGCCUCCCGUGCGCCUCGUCGCGCGGUUGGCAUAAAUGCCAAGUCCUCGGCGACGCACGCCACGACAAUCGGUGGUUGCGAAACCUCGGUUGCCCGUCGUGUGCGGUCGUCGCGCAUCGAGGGCUCGAAAAAAUUGCCGGGCUCCGGCUCGGCUUUCAACGCGACCCCAGGUCAGGCGGGGUUACCCGCUGAAUUUAAGCAUAUCAAUAAGCGGAGGA
This 390-nucleotide unclassified non-coding RNA is filed under the name soil metagenome. Its description in RNAcentral is "partial contains 5.8S ribosomal RNA, internal transcribed spacer 2, and large subunit ribosomal RNA". The stretch from base 1 to 122 matches the Rfam family "5.8S ribosomal RNA", at positions 35 to 154 of the family's 154-position model. The record is from RNAcentral.